AGAGUUUGAUCCUGGCUCAGGAUGAACGCCGGCGGUGUGCCUAAUACAUGCAAGUCGUACGCACUGGCCCAACUGAUUGAUGGUGCUUGCACCUGAUUGACGAUGGAUCACCAGUGAGUGGCGGACGGGUGAGUAACACGUAGGUAACCUGCCUCGGAGCGGGGGAUAACAUUUGGAAACAGAUGCUAAUACCGCAUAACAACAAAAGCCACAUGGCUUUUGUUUGAAAGAUGGCUUUGGCUAUCACUCUGGGAUGGACCUGCGGUGCAUUAGCUAGUUGGUAAGGUAACGGCUUACCAAGGCAAUGAUGCAUAGCCGAGUUGAGAGACUGAUCGGCCACAAUGGAACUGAGACACGGUCCAUACUCCUACGGGAGGCAGCAGUAGGGAAUCUUCCACAAUGGGCGCAAGCCUGAUGGAGCAACACCGCGUGAGUGAAGAAGGGUUUCGGCUCGUAAAGCUCUGUUGUUGGAGAAGAACGUGCGUGAGAGUAACUGUUCACGCAGUGACGGUAUCCAACCAGAAAGUCACGGCUAACUACGUGCCAGCAGCCGCGGUAAUACGUAGGUGGCAAGCGUUAUCCGGAUUUAUUGGGCGUAAAGCGAGCGCAGGCGGUUGCUUAGGUCUGAUGUGAAAGCCUUCGGCUUAACCGAAGAAGUGCAUCGGAAACCGGGCGACUUGAGUGCAGAAGAGGACAGUGGAACUCCAUGUGUAGCGGUGGAAUGCGUAGAUAUAUGGAAGAACACCAGUGGCGAAGGCGGCUGUCUGGUCUGCAACUGACGCUGAGGCUCGAAAGCAUGGGUAGCGAACAGGAUUAGAUACCCUGGUAGUCCAUGCCGUAAACGAUGAGUGCUAGGUGUUGGAGGGUUUCCGCCCUUCAGUGCCGGAGCUAACGCAUUAAGCACUCCGCCUGGGGAGUACGACCGCAAGGUUGAAACUCAAAGGAAUUGACGGGGGCCCGCACAAGCGGUGGAGCAUGUGGUUUAAUUCGAAGCUACGCGAAGAACCUUACCAGGUCUUGACAUCUUGCGCUAACCUUAGAGAUAAGGCGUUCCCUUCGGGGACGCAAUGACAGGUGGUGCAUGGUCGUCGUCAGCUCGUGUCGUGAGAUGUUGGGUUAAGUCCCGCAACGAGCGCAACCCUUGUUACUAGUUGCCAGCAUUAAGUUGGGCACUCUAGUGAGACUGCCGGUGACAAACCGGAGGAAGGUGGGGACGACGUCAGAUCAUCAUGCCCCUUAUGACCUGGGCUACACACGUGCUACAAUGGACGGUACAACGAGUCGCAAGCUCGCGAGAGUAAGCUAAUCUCUUAAAGCCGUUCUCAGUUCGGACUGUAGGCUGUAACUCGCCUACACGAAGUCGGAAUCGCUAGUAAUCGCGGAUCAGCAUGCCGCGGUGAAUACGUUCCCGGGCCUUGUACACACCGCCCGUCA
Molecule: ribosomal RNA, 1434 nt
Filed under: uncultured bacterium
Lineage: Bacteria
Description: bacterial SSU rRNA
Rfam family: Bacterial small subunit ribosomal RNA
Source: RNAcentral